This 320-nucleotide small nuclear RNA is filed under the name Ailuropoda melanoleuca (giant panda). RNAcentral's name for it is "7SK RNA". It matches the Rfam family "7SK RNA". From Rfam's summary of the family: 7SK was discovered as an abundant small nuclear RNA in the mid-70s but a possible function has only recently been suggested. Two independent studies have found that 7SK RNA binds the CDK9/cyclin T complex (known as elongation factor P-TEFb). P-TEFb activates transcription by phosphorylating the C-terminal domain of RNA polymerase II. Lineage: Eukaryota; Metazoa; Chordata; Mammalia; Carnivora; Ursidae. The record is from Rfam by way of RNAcentral.
GGAUGUGAGUGUGAUCUGGCUGUGACAUCUGUCACUCUGCUGAUCACCAUGAUCGAUUUGGCUGGCUGGCUGGAUAUCCCCUUUCUCCCUCACGGCUCCUUGUGCCUCCCUCCAGAAGCUGUACACUUGAUCCAAGAGGAUGACCUUCCCCAGUAGAGGAGGAAUGUUUUUCAGUCGAGGGUAUGAGUAGCUGGUGCUCCCCUGCUAGAAACUCCCAACAAGCUCUCAGGGCCCAUUUGUAGGAGAAUGUAGAGUAGUCAAGCUUCCAAGACUCCAGAUGCCUCCAAAUAAGUGUUUCAUGUGGCAGCCUAACUUUCUUU